Molecule: long non-coding RNA, 2991 nt
Filed under: Sus scrofa (pig)
Lineage: Eukaryota; Metazoa; Chordata; Mammalia; Artiodactyla; Suidae
Description: lncRNA (ENSSSCG00045038990.1)
Source: RNAcentral
AUGGAAGAGAAGCCCGGUGACGAGAAUCACAGCCAUUGCAACCGAGGCCAGAGUGACCAGAACAACUUCCCAUGGUGUCAGUUGUCCGCUAAGGUUCUCCUCUUUCCUUGGAGGGGCAGUACUUGUGCUGGUGUCACUGGAGGUUAUAGCCGUUGUGUUAGUUUCCCUGGACGGUGUGGUUGGUCCGAGGGAGGUGGUCGUGAUGUUCCCACUGGAGGUUGUACUGGAGGUUGUGCUUGUUUCACUGGAGGUCAUACUGGAACCAGUAUUGGCAGGUGUGCUGGUCUCACCAGAGAUUGUGCUGGUUCCAGUGUUGACAGGUGUAAUAGUCCCUCCAGAGGUCGAGCUGGAUCCAGUGUUGGAGGUUAUACUGGAACCACUGGGGGUCACGCUGGAUGCAGCGUUGGAAGUCAGGGGGGAUCCAGUGCUGAAGGCUGUGCUAGAUCCUCCAGAUGUCACGCUGGAUCCAGUGUUGGAGGUUAUACUGGAACCACUGGGGGUCACGCUGGAUGCAGCGUUGGAAGUCAUGCUGGAUCAAGUGCUGAAGGCUGUGCUAGAUCCUCCAGAGGUCACGCUGGAUCCAGUGUUGGAGGUUAUACUGGAACCACUGGGGGUGACGCUGGAUUCAGUGUUGGAAGUCAUGCUGGAUCCAGUGCUGAAGGCUGUGCUAGAUCGUCCAGAGGUCACGCUGGAUCCAGUGUUGGAGGUUAUACUGGAACCACUGGGGGUCACGCUGGGUGCAGUGUUGGAAGUCAUGCUGGACCCACUGGGGGUCAUGUUGGAUCCAGUGCUGGAGGCUGUGCUGGAUGCAGUGUUGAAGGCUGUGCUAGUCUCAGUGGAGAUUGCCAUGGAUCUAGGGUUGGCCAUGACCACACUGGAAGUUGGGUGUGGCCCUAAAAAGACACACACACACACACAAAUUUGAGAUGGGACUAGGUAUUUGGGUAAUUAUGUAUGCAUUAAAGUUCCAGAGGCUCCUGAUCAUAAGGCAAAGGCUGGAGAAGAAUAAGUUAUAUGUAGUUUAAAUGUAAAAGACCUCCCAGGAUUUCAGGCUGCAAAUCAAGAUUAAUAGAUAUAAGGAAGCAUUUCCUCCUUCUUGAAGGCUCAGCUGGAGUUAAGGUUGUGCCUGUUUUUGGCCCUCACUACCUUAAAGGACAAAGACACUCAAUCACUCCAGAUGAACAGAAUUUAUCUCACUUGUCAUUCAUUUUCCUUUAACUGGGACACGAAUGCCUGUCGCCUUACCCCACGCAUGUGUGUUUUCCCCUCAGGAUUAUUCGAACUAACAUAGGAUUAAAAUCAAGCCCUAUUUGGGGAACCCCCCAUCUGCAAUGGGGUACAAAUUGGAGUUAAGUCAAAAUCAUGAGUAAAACUAAAUAAGAAACUGAGAUAAACAAGAAUAGGGGUGACAUGAAGGAGGGAUUGGAUUUGAUCUGAGAAGUUUUGGAGAGCAGACUGGAUGAGUCAAAAUUAUGUGAGGGCUAAUUUUGAUUCAAAAAUGAUGAAUUCUAAGUGAACAAUAGGAGACAGCCCAAGAAGUGUUUAAUAGAGUGUCAGAUGUGUUAAGACAAGUGGGAGUUAGUUUUGACUCUUGAAUCCUUUUUUCCUUCGUCUGAGGCUGACUCAGGCUGAUUGUGGAGCCAGGGUUAAGGACAGGAGAAAAAUUAAAUUUUUAGAAUAUUGAAGAGUGAGAUAUAUAUAUAUUUUUUUGUCUUUUUUUUUUUUUUUUUUUUUUUUUUUUUUUGCUAUUUCUUUGGGCCGCUUCUGUGGCAUAUGGAGGUUCCCAGGCUAGGGGUUGAAUCGGAGCUGUAGCCGCCGGCCUACGCCAGAGCCACAGCAACGCACGAUCCGAGCCGCGUCUACAACCUACACCACAGCUCACGGCAACGCCGGAUCAUUAACCCACUGAGCAAGGGCAGGGACCGAACCCGCAACCUCAUGGUUCCUAGUCGGAUUCGUUAACCACUGCGCCACGACGGGAACUCCGAAGAGUGAUAUUUUAAAAUAAUCAUCAACUCUUCUUGUUCUUAAUCCUGAAAACCCCAGCCAUAUCAUACAGGUUAUUUCUAUUUUAUGGAUGCAGAAACUGAGGCACAGAGAAGUUGAGUCACCCAAAAUGCACAGGCAACAGAUGGAGCAAUGAAUAAUUCAAGUGUAGGCAAUUGAACACUGGAGUCCACAGUUUUAACCACUGUGCUCUGACUGUCUCUCAGGUGAUACCUUAUUAGACUGAAGUGAUUGGAGUAAAAUGAUAACCUUCACUCUAUGGAGGAGAACCAGAGCUAUUGCUAGCAGUGGUAAUCAUCUCCCACAACCCCUUAAAAGCUCUUAGACUACCCACUUUAAAAGAAAAGCACUCACCAUAUUCUAAAAGUAGGAGAUGCAACAGUAACCAAUACAUAAAGGGAAUGUUUCUUUUCUGCAUCUUAAUCUGCGUCUUUGUAGCUGAAAAACAAGAUGCUUGGAUUCCAGAUGUGGCCAAGACCUAGAAGGCAAAGAACAGGAUUCUUGAGAAAGGAGAGUUCAGGGUGAAGAGAUAAAGGCUGGAGCUUCCAGGAGGUUGGGUAUCCUAAGUAUAUGUUCUUGGAAAGAAUCUUGAGCUUGGAGGUCGCAGACUGGACACCUGGGCUCCUUAAGCUUCCUCCAUGCGAUGUUGUUGCCUCUUGUGUUAUCAUGGAAUAGCUGCAGGGGCCUUUAUAGCUUCACCUAGGUUGGGGAGGGGUUGGGAAGUUGGCUUGUUCUUCUGCCAACUGUGAGCAGGAACAAAAAACAAUACUGAGCCUAAGAAGGAAUAGACUGGGGGUCAAGAGGAAGGUGAGAAAGGAGAAUGACAUGAUCACUCUAGGCAGGGCACUGAGCUGGGUUUGAGCAGGAAGUAGGACGGGUUAAGGAGAUCAAGGUUGUCAGAGUGGAAGGGACCCACCCUUGAGGCAGAAAUUGGGUCAGAAACCUGUUCCAGUUCAAGACCUUGUUUCCUGCUCGGGAAGCCUU